AGACCCGAAACCCGGUGAUCUAGCCAUGGGCAGGUUGAAGGUUGGGUAACACUAACUGGAGGACCGAACCGACUAAUGUUGAAAAAUUAGCGGAUGACCUGUGGCUGGGGGUGAAAGGCCAAUCAAACCGGGAGAUAGCUGGUUCUCCCCGAAAGCUAUUUAGGUAGCGCCUCGUGAAUUCAUCUCCGGGGGUAGAGCACUGUUUCGGCUAGGGGGCCAUCCCGGCUUACCAACCCGAUGCAAACUGCGAAUACCGGAGAAUGUUAUCACGGGAGACACACGGCGGGUGCUAACGUCCGUCGUGAAGAGGGAAACAACCCAGACCGCCAGCUAAGGUCCCAAAGUCAUGGUUAAGUGGGAAACGAUGUGGGAAGGCCCAGACAGCCAGGAUGUUGGCUUAGAAGCAGCCAUCAUUUAAAGAAAGCGUAAUAGCUCACUGGUCGAGUCGGCCUGCGCGGAAGAUGUAACGGGGCUAAACCAUGCACCGAAGCUGCGGCAGCGAACGUAUCACCCAAGACAACUUUACGGAGUUGACGAUUGACGGAGCGAAGCGACGUCAAAGCGUUCAUUAAAGUCGAGUUGGCUUAGGGAUACGUUCGUUGGGUAGGGGAGCGUUCUGUAAGCCUGUGAAGGUGUGUCGUGAGGCAUGCUGGAGGUAUCAGAAGUGCGAAU
This 672-nucleotide ribosomal RNA is filed under the name Salmonella enterica. RNAcentral's name for it is "partial 23S ribosomal RNA". It matches the Rfam family "Bacterial large subunit ribosomal RNA", at positions 711 to 1295 of the family's 2925-position model. The record is from RNAcentral. Lineage: Bacteria; Pseudomonadati; Pseudomonadota; Gammaproteobacteria; Enterobacterales; Enterobacteriaceae. RNAcentral also lists the same sequence under 1 other name.